GAUGAACGCUGGCGGCGUGCCUAAUACAUGCAAGUCGAGCGAACGGACGAGAAGCUUGCUUUUUUGAUGUUAGCGGCGGACGGGUGAGUAACACGUGGAUAACCUACCUAUAUGACUGGGAUAACUUCGGGAAACCGGAGCUAAUACCGGAUAAUAUUUCGAACCGCAUGGAUCAAAAGUGAAUGACGGUCUUGCUGUCACUAAUAGAUGGAUCCGCGCUGCAUUAGCUAGUUGGUAAGGUAACGGCUUACCAAGGCAACGAUGCAUAGCCGACCUGAGAGGGUGAUCGGCCACACUGGAACUGAGACACGGUCCAGACUCCUACGGGAGGCAGCAGUAGGGAAUAUUCGGCAAUGGGCGAAAGCCUGACGGAGCAACGCCGCGUGAGUGAUGAAGGUCUUCGGGUCGUAAAGCUCUGUUAUUAGGGAAGAACAGCUGUGUAAUUAACUGUGCAUAUCUUGACGGUACCUAAUCAGAAAGCCCCGGCUAACUACGUG
RNAcentral lists this ribosomal RNA (497 nucleotides) under uncultured bacterium. Its description in RNAcentral is "partial 16S ribosomal RNA". It matches the Rfam family "Bacterial small subunit ribosomal RNA", at positions 28 to 507 of the family's 1533-position model. The record is from RNAcentral.